Molecule: long non-coding RNA, 1324 nt
Organism: Dermacentor albipictus
Lineage: Eukaryota; Metazoa; Arthropoda; Arachnida; Ixodida; Ixodidae
Source: RefSeq, a predicted model, not a curated record
CGCUGUUUGCUUGAGAGUUUCCUGCGUUUUCUGCGUUCUUUGUGUGCUUCGCUGUGACAUCUGUGCAAUAUUCCUGCGUGUUGCUGGCUUUUUAUGGGCUUGUUGCCUCGAAUAUCGCCAUGAUCGCCUCCGACUCAAGGAUUCAAAAUGAGCUGGGAGACGCCCCAGCUGGAACGCUAAAGGUUCACAUAGGCUGUAGGAGUGCACAUUGAGAAGGUUAUCCUGGCACAGCUUACCAUGGCCUGCUAUGGUAGACCAGGAAAGUUCACAAGGGCCUUGCUUCACCAUGUGUUCGCAGAGGAGCUCAUGGGCCAUUUGGGCUUUGCAAAUAACACCAAGGGGCAAAAGAGGCUCUUGACCCCACCAGGGUCAGUGCUGUUAUAGGCUUCACGUGUCGCAAAUUUCCUGGUACCAACAUGCCCUAUGUAAUGAACUCUGGCCUCGCUUCUCGCAUGGGACCACUAGCCUCUGAAGAGCCCAAGUUGGACAGCUCAAACUAAAACACAAGUGUUGUGCUUUUUUAACUCUCAACAUUUUUAUGUUUUAUGUUAGUCUCCUGAAGGCCCCGAUUUGGAUUUCUUAAAUGCGCAUACAAAUGUAGUCCCUUUCUAUGCCUUGACAUUUUUGUGUUAAUUUUAGUUAUAUUAAUUAUGCUAGUCUCCUCAGAAGCCCACAUUGUAUUGCUCAAUCCGGAAUACAAGUGCUGUGCUUUGUUAUAGUUCACUACAUUUUUAUGUUAGUUAUUGAUAUGGUUCCAGUAAGGAUAGUGUUUCCUUGUUAAUAUAUUUUUAAGUAUCUUAAGUCAUUUCAUGCCAAACCACCCAAUUUUGUCAAGAACUGUUCCAUUAUGGCAAACCAUUUCAAGUUUGCUUGAUUUUGAGCAGGUACAAUGCUAAAAUUUUUGAGAAAAUUUGCUUUCAUUCAUACACUUGAGUCAUUCCAGGGCAACCAACCAGUGUUUUUUUGACCAUCACAGAUAUAGUUGAAGCUCCGAACACUUGCUCCCCAUUUAUUUUCCUUCGCAAUAAUUUUUUUAAAUAUUGGCAAAAAUUCAUUGUUCUUGCCCAGCUAAGCUACAAAGCACUGAUACACGUUUCUUUUGAAAGGGAAAAUGUAUGGUCCAGAUAUUCAGAUGGUGUUCAUGUCAAGAGACUGAAGUGGUGUGACUGCCAAAAUUUGUAAAGUUUGAAUUUUUUUCUAACGUAGGGAAAUACAGAAGGCACAAAAUAAAUAUAAAAUCAGACUGGUUGACUUGGGAUAUUUAGUAAAGCAAUGAAGGGUGCUAGUUCGUGAACGUUCAUGGUUAUAUUGCGCUCAGUUUUAC